UCAUGUGGCACCACGCUGCCCCUAGAGGCCAAUAUGCGCGCAGCAGGAGCCUCCAAAAUAUCUGCUCUCCUCUCAGCGCAUGACCUUUCGCUUAACAGCAAAGUUCUACGUCAAAGUUCGAAGUCGACCGCAGACUGCUUCCAAGUGGGCCAUACCUGUGUGUGGCAUACGUAUUUUGAGCGCAACAUCCUGCGCACCCUUUUCUAUUUCACGGUGACAUAAGUAGGCCAGUUCACUUUCUGCACUUUCCGGCGCUUACCGAGUCGGGUGGACGGACGCCGCCCCGGGUGACACCGCAAAGAUUCAAACCCCCAAAACAAAGAGCUGCAAAAUGGACUUGCUAACAACCAGCCAUGCUGUAAUCCGAUAGUACUGAGAUUGCAUUUAAGGCUCAAAUAAAUUAGGAAAACGGCAUGAACAAAGACAAGUUGCAGUCCGAGGCCGAUUGUUGUGUGACCUGCAGCAGUUCUGUUAUGUGUCCAAACGUCGGCGGCGGCGGCACAGUUUGGGAACAGCAUGCAGGAAGAGCAUGGGGGAGGGGGGGGGGCAUCCUGGCUUGGGAGGGAACUGAGAGGUUGUGAAGUUGAGCUCACGUGCACGGCAAAAUGCGUCUUCUUACACGUGAAGAACCCCCAAAAAACAAAAGAGGCAAGGCUGACGUUUUCUUCCAAUAAAUGAAGUGCUGUGGCCAGAAGGGACCCCCGAGUUUUCAUUUCUUCUCACAAUUUCAGGGCACCUCAGUGAGACUUGGAACCCGGGGGACCUGAGAACCGGGUCCGUGCGGGCCGCCGGAGGAGAGGAAAUGACCAAACAGCUUUUCCAAACAUCCCCGUGGCUGAGCGGGAGGCCGAUCGGAGAAAGCUUAGCGAGGACUCCCGUAAUGACAGGGAUCAAGUGAUACUGCAACACGCGGGGGGGGCUCCUCUCAUGGAUGAACAAACUCCUUUCCCGCCGAUUAAGCGCAUUUGGACCAAUGGCCCUCCAGCCACGGGCCGCGAGUUGCUUCCCACUUCGGAGAGGUGCGCGAGUGGUGCUGAAAGCAGGCGGCCAGCGCUCCCCCCACCCCCCACCUGUCGGCACUCGACAAUCGAAGGCGUCACCCGGGCAAUUAUACUCGCCGUGGCCCACACUGCUGAUGACAAGUGGAAGGAGAGGAAAAACUGGGUCUGCGAGGCCUUUUUGUUCCCCACGCCAACAUUGAGCAAGCAAAGAUGGCGCAACAAGGAGUCGGUCGGCUGCCGGUGGUACAAACAUUUGCGGGUCGAAACGCUCAAGUAGCCCAGAUUGUUUUUUGUUGGACAUACACAUAAAUUUAAAAAAGCUGUGCAAAGUUUAGUUGUUGUAUCAGAAUCAGCAACUUCCUGCUUUUCAAAUCUGAUCACAUUUCCGUGGUCCUCAUACUACAGAAUAAAAGAUGGCGGUCAUAUCUGAACCGCCGGAGGUUGUGCUCGCUUUUGCUUCUUCCAUAUUUGCUUUUUAGUUUCAUGCCAGUGUGACACACCAAAGAAACUCCAUCUG
Molecule: long non-coding RNA, 1518 nt
Organism: Syngnathus typhle (broad-nosed pipefish)
Lineage: Eukaryota; Metazoa; Chordata; Actinopteri; Syngnathiformes; Syngnathidae
Exons: 2
Source: RefSeq, a predicted model, not a curated record